RNAcentral lists this ribosomal RNA (368 nucleotides) under uncultured bacterium. RNAcentral describes it as "bacterial SSU rRNA". It matches the Rfam family "Archaeal small subunit ribosomal RNA", at positions 351 to 719 of the family's 1478-position model. The record is from RNAcentral.
UACAAUGCUGGCAACAGCGAUAAGGGAACCUCGAGUGCCAGGUUACAAAUCUGGCUGUCGAGAUGCCUAAAAAGCAUUUCAUAGCAAGGGCCGGGCAAGACCGGUGCCAGCCGCCGCGGUAACACCGGCGGCCCGAGUGCUAACCGCUAUUAUUGGGUCUAAAGGGUCUGUAGCCGGCCGGAUAAGUCUCUUGAGAAAUCUGGCAGCUUAACUGUCAGGCUUUCAGGAGAUACUGUCUGGCUCAAGGCCGGGAGAGGUGAGAGGUACUUCAGGGGUAGGGGUGAAAUCGUGUAAUCCUUGAAGGACCACCAGUGGCGAAGGGGUCUCACCAGAACGGACCUGCCGGCAAGGGACGAAAGCUAGGGGCA